AAAAAAUUAGUUAAACCAAAAUAACAUUAGUAUGUCAAACUAAAAUUAUCCAAAUUAUUAGAUAUUUUU
This 69-nucleotide transfer RNA is filed under the name Axarus fungorum. RNAcentral describes it as "tRNA-Asp". Lineage: Eukaryota; Metazoa; Arthropoda; Insecta; Diptera; Chironomidae. The record is from RNAcentral.